RNAcentral lists this ribosomal RNA (508 nucleotides) under uncultured Bacillus sp. RNAcentral's name for it is "bacterial SSU rRNA". It matches the Rfam family "Bacterial small subunit ribosomal RNA", at positions 355 to 854 of the family's 1533-position model. Lineage: Bacteria; Bacillati; Bacillota; Bacilli; Caryophanales; Bacillaceae. The record is from RNAcentral.
UAGGGAAUCUUCCGCAAUGGACGAAAGUCUGACGGAGCAACGCCGCGUGAGUGAUGAAGGUUUUCGGAUCGUAAAACUCUGUUGUCAGGGAAGAACAAGUACCGGAGUAACUGCCGGUACCUUGACGGUACCUGACCAGAAAGCCACGGCUAACUACGUGCCAGCAGCCGCGGUAAUACGUAGGUGGCAAGCGUUGUCCGGAAUUAUUGGGCGUAAAGCGCGCGCAGGCGGUUCCUUAAGUCUGAUGUGAAAGCCCCCGGCUCAACCGGGGAGGGUCAUUGGAAACUGGGGAACUUGAGUGCAGAAGAGAAGAGUGGAAUUCCACGUGUAGCGGUGAAAUGCGUAGAGAUGUGGAGGAACACCAGUGGCGAAGGCGACUCUUUGGUCUGUAACUGACGCUGAGGCGCGAAAGCGUGGGGAGCAAACAGGAUUAGAUACCCUGGUAGUCCACGCCGUAAACGAUGAGUGCUAAGUGUUAGAGGGUUUCCGCCCUUUAGUGCUGCAGCAA